UUGCCUCUUCCCCGUUUAAAUCAUGGAGCAUCAGCCGCUGUUCCCUAUUCCCGGCAGCCGAGCCCCUGCGCGCGCAUCCUCCCGCGCAGUCCCCAGCGCCACCGGCCAACCUCGCCGGCCGAGCUUCCUCGCCUUCAAUCCUUAAGCCGUCGCGCCCCUCAGCUCGCUGGCCGUGACCUCGCCAAGGUUUUUCCCAUGGCCGGCUCACUGCUCAACCCAAACCGAGGUCUUGUACGAAACAGCAUCUCCCAUGGCCGCUGCGUCGCGUUCCUUGUGCUAGCGCAGCUGAACGUCAUACUGCGCAGUGUUUUGUCCGACGUCGAGCUUAGCUCAGUCUCUGUUUCUCUGUGCACGUCGAGUUCCUUGCCGCGCGCUGAGCUUUCUGUCGGUCUCCAACUCGCCAUGGUGUCCAACUCCUGUACCAACCGUGACCUACGCUUGGUCUUCCUAGCUGCGUUGACCUGCGUCGACCUCUGCUCACUUCGCUCGGGAUGUCGUGCUGGGUCGCUCCAUACUUGGUGCACACCCAGCCGGGCGUCGCGAUGUUGUGCACCAUGUGUCACCCGUCAUCCUCAUCCUCACCAUGGCCAGCAGCUUCAAAAACAUGGACGCCCAAGCCUUUUCCCCAUCUUUCACGCCCACCUCGGUCUUCAUCCUCAACCUUUGCCAGGAAUUCGGUUAAUUGGGCGAACCAGAAGAUCUCCAGAAUUUUAUGGAUGAAGAAGAAAAUAAAGUCGAAGAGUGACGCUCGCUACAUGCUCGACGAAAGGCGUGAACUGAAGAUUUAUCACUAUUCCUCAAUUGCCGAAUUA
This 812-nucleotide unclassified non-coding RNA is filed under the name Zea mays. RNAcentral's name for it is "misc RNA Zm00001eb308820". Lineage: Eukaryota; Viridiplantae; Streptophyta; Magnoliopsida; Poales; Poaceae. The record is from RNAcentral.